This 305-nucleotide ribosomal RNA is filed under the name uncultured bacterium. RNAcentral describes it as "bacterial SSU rRNA". It matches the Rfam family "Bacterial small subunit ribosomal RNA", at positions 335 to 638 of the family's 1533-position model. The record is from RNAcentral.
UAGCCUACGGGGGGCAGCAGUGAGGAAUAUUGGUCAAUGGGCGGAAGCCUGAACCAGCCAAGUAGCGUGCAGGAUGACGGCCCUACGGGUUGUAAACUGCUUUUAUACGGGAAUAACGCGCCUUACGUGUAGGGCUUUGCAUGUACCGUAUGAAUAAGGACCGGCUAAUUCCGUGCCAGCAGCCGCGGUAAUACGGAAGGUCCGGGCGUUAUCCGGAUUUAUUGGGUUUAAAGGGUGCGUAGGCGGUCCGUUAAGUCAGCGGUAAAAUUGCGGGGCUCAACCCCGUCGAGCCGUUGAAACUGGCG